Molecule: long non-coding RNA, 1832 nt
Organism: Lutra lutra (Eurasian river otter)
Lineage: Eukaryota; Metazoa; Chordata; Mammalia; Carnivora; Mustelidae
Exons: 3
Source: RefSeq, a predicted model, not a curated record
UUUGUUAAUAUUUUGUUGAGGAGGACUUUUGCAUCUGUGUUCAUCAAGGAUAUUGGCCUAUACAUUUUUUGUGGUAUCUUUGCCUGGUUUUGGUUAUGAGAGUAAUGCUGGCCUUAUAAAUUGCACUUGGAAGCUAAUCCUUCUUUUGGAAGAUUGUGAGAGGUAUUAAAUCUUACUUAAAAUUUGGUAGAAUUUGCCAGUGAAGCUGUUUCUAGACUUUGGCUUAUUGGGAAAUUUUUAAUUUACUGUUUCAAAUUUCCUUACUAGUAAUCAGUCUAUUCAUAUUUUGUUUCUUCAUGAUUGUUUUGGAAGGUUGUACAUUUCUAAGAAUUUAUUCACUUCUAGGUUGUCCAGCUUGUUGGCAUGUAAUUGCUCAGUGUCUUUUAGGAUCCUUUGGAUUUCUGUGGUAUCAGUUAUACUAACUACUACUCUUUAAUUUCCGAUUUUGAGUCUGCUCUUACUUUAACUUGGUUAGUCUACUGAAGAUUUGUAGAUUUUAUCUUUUUGAAGAACCAGCUCUUAGUUUCAUUCAUUUUUUGUAAUUGUCUUUUGUCUCUGUUUCUGCUUUAAUCUACCUUCCACUCCUCUCAGGCUUUGUUCUUUUUCUAGAAAGUUCCUUUAGAUAUAAAGUUACGUUGGCAAUCUGAUAUUUUCCUUGUUUCUUCAAGUGGGCAUGAACUUCCCUCGUAGAACUGCUUUUGCUACAUCCUAUAUAUUUUGGUGUCAUAUUUUGGUUUUGUCUCUAGGUUUUUUAUUUCUUUGAUUUCUUUGAUGACACACUGGUUGUUCAAAAGCACAUUACUUAAUCUCAUAUUUGUGCCUUUUCCCAUUUUUUUGUAAUUAAGUUAUAGUUGUAUACCAUUGUGGUCUAGUUUCAUACCAGAGAUGCUUGAUAGAAUUUCCAUUUUCUUUAAUUUGUUGAGUCUUGGUUUUUGGCCUUAUUCUUGAGAACAUUCUACAUAGACUUGGGAAUGUGUAUUCUGCCUUUUAGAUGGAAUGUUCUGAGUAUGUAUGUUAUGUCCAUGUGGUAUAAAGUCCAGUGUUUCUGUAUUGAUUCUUUUGUCUGGAUGAAUUAUCUAUUGACAAGAGUGGGAUAUUAAAGUCUCCUACUAUUACCAUGUUGCUUUAUCUCCCUUUAGGUCUAUUAGUAUCUGCAGACAUCCAACAACUGAGCCACCCAGGUGCCCUCUAGUCUUUGUUUUAAAGUCUGACUGGAGUAUAGCUAAUCCAGCUUUCUUUUCAUUUCCAUGGAGUAUCUUUCUGUCCGUUCCAUUUUCAGUCUGGGUAUGUCCUGCAGUAUCUCUUAUAAGUCAUAGAUGUUUUUACCCACACAACCAGCCACUCUCUGUCUUUUGAUUGCAAAUUUAGUCCAUUUUCAUUUAAUUAUUGGUAGGUAUAUUCUUACUGACAUUUUGUUAAUUGUUUUCUGUUUAUUUAGUUCUCUGAUCUUCUUUCACUUCUCCCUUGUGUUCUGAUGGCUUUCUUUAGUGUUAUGUUCAGAUUCCUUUCUCAUUUUCUUUAGUGUACUUACAUUUUCCCCUUGUGGUUACCAUGAGGUUCACAUAAAAUAUGUGAUGUAAAUAACAGUCUGUUUCAAGUUGAUAGUAACUUAAUUUUAGAAAUCUUCUCUUUUAUAAAUCCUCCCUCAAAAAUGAAUGAGACAGCACCUUAGCAAUUUUUCUUUCAGUAAUAAAAAGUCUUUUCAACCAAAUCACAAUAGUCUUCCUUUGGGGUUUUUUUGUUAGCUUGACUGAUAUGCCCUCCUCACAGCAAAUUAUCUAUCACUCAUGAUUUGGGGGUCCACAGGCCCAUAAAGCAGAGGAGAAAAAGAG